This 434-nucleotide ribosomal RNA is filed under the name uncultured bacterium. RNAcentral describes it as "partial 16S ribosomal RNA". It matches the Rfam family "Bacterial small subunit ribosomal RNA", at positions 29 to 506 of the family's 1533-position model. The record is from RNAcentral.
AGCGAACGCUGGCGGCAGGCUUAACACAUGCAAGUCGAGCGGGCACUUUCGGGUGUCAGCGGCGGACGGGUGAGUAACGCGUGGGAACGUGCCCUCUGGUUCGGAAUAACUCAGGGAAACUUGAGCUAAUACCGGAUACGCCCUUUUGGGGAAAGGCUUGCUGCCGGAGGAUCGGCCCGCGUCUGACUAGCUAGUUGGUGAGGUAACGGCUCACCAAGGCGACGAUCAGUAGCUGGUCUGAGAGGAUGAUCAGCCACACUGGGACUGAGACACGGCCCAGACUCCUACGGGAGGCAGCAGUGGGGAAUAUUGGACAAUGGGCGCAAGCCUGAUCCAGCCAUGCCGCGUGAGUGAUGAAGGCCUUAGGGUUGUAAAGCUCUUUUAUCCGGGACGAUAAGGACGGUACCGGAGGAAUAAGCCCCGGCUAACUUCGU